GCAGUAGAGCAUGCAAAUGUCAGAAAGAACCAGCAAAGCCAUGGAAGUGACCUUUCCUCAGUCUUGAGAAGAAGCCGUGGAUCUUUGUGGCAACAGUUUAGUCCUACAACCCAACCUCUGCCACUGCCUGGCUCAACAUGAUGAGACAUCAAGACUGGAGAAUGCAGGUGAUUGCGCGAGGAGACAGGGUGUGCACUUACACUGCUCCAUAAACUGCUCUCUUCAAACAAAGGGUUUGGGACUGGGAGAUGUGUGUGUACACACACACUUGAAAGCACUCUGUCAUACAGCAAAAAAAUAUAUCUGUUCAGAAAUAAACCAGUGACUUCUACCAAGAGAAGAAUUGCAUCCUCACAAGUAAACAACUUUCAUUUUCUGAGAUUCAUAGCAUCAGGGCAUUGAGCUCUGAAACCACGGGAUCCAGUUUCCUGCAGAAGGACUCUAUGGAUGGAGUUGAGGCCCUAUGUUUAACCUACAGGAUAGCCUCAACCUAGAACCUUCCCUCUUCCUCAUUAGGAUCUCACUGUCAAGUUCUCCAUAGGAACUGACAUGCAUUUGAUUUUAGUGCAGAUGCUGGAAGCUUAAAUUUGGAAAAGGAGAGCAAAUGUACUGCAUGGCUUGAAAGUAUUUCAGAGAGUUGGAUUAAUCAGCUGAUUGAAUAUUUUUUGUCUCAUCAGUAGUUCAGCUCAACAAAAGCCUGCACUGCAGUUCACAAAAGAGAAAGAAGACAAAUAAAUUCUUGGCUAUUAAAAAAUUGCUUCUGGGACAUGAAAACACCGAUCUUGUAUGUAGGUCCCUGGCUUGUCUGCAGCCUCCACAGACCUUCUUAAAAGCUGGCGCGGUUCAUCCUGAACCACAUCCAUCCUGAACCACCGUCCAGGCAGACGUGCUACAAGGAUGGGUGUUUACACAUCUCAUUGCUGCAGAGUCCCCAGGAGAUCCUGCAUGCCCAGGUAAUGUCUCAUCAAAAGGAAAAAUUACUCUGGGUAAUGACCUGAGCCAACAAAGAAAAGUCUCUGCAUGAUGGGAACCUGAUUAAACAUGAAAUGCACUUCACACAAGCUCUCUGAUGUGAUUUUACAUGAGUUGAGGUCUUUUCCUUUUCACUUUGGUAUUAAUAGUGCCGAAUAUGCAGAUGAAAAUCAGAAAAUUCUCCAAAGGCAAGUAGUUUAACUUCUCCCUUAUCCCCUUUUCUGUCAUUUCCAAGUAGCAUCACUGACUUUAACCAAAGAAAAGCGUUAUAUAUUCUUAAAUAUAUUCAGGCAAUAUAUUCUUAAAGUGAGGGUUGCUUUGAGAUGAUUGUGUCAGUCUCUACUCAGCUUCAGUUUUUAAACACUUGCAAACAAGACUUUCUGAGGCAUGCAAAUGCCCAAAGUAGCUGUGGUUUUAGCAUAAUUUUGAAGAACAUUUUUGCUUGAAAUUAGUGAGAGUGAGGCAUCCUAUCCCUUUGUGUUUUAAAACGAAGGAGAUAUGAAAUACUUGGAAAGAGCCUGUAACUGCUUCUACUAGUAGUAUAAAAUAGGCCCCACUUGAUUUGUGGCUUAAAGAAGAAGAGAGCAGACAAUCAGUGAGAGACAGCUCCUUCCUUUUAGGGCUGUAAUACCAGAGGACAGAGCUGGAGGUAAGGGGAGGCAGGAGGAAAGCAUGAUCAAAUGGCUUGCCACAGAACAUCUAACACUUCUCUAAAGUACCACCAUUCUGGUAUUUUUUCAGAUAUAAUCUGCCUCAGAGAAAUGUGACAAAUCUCAAUUAACUCUUCAAAGGCUUGCAAUGAUCUUCCAGCAGAAGAAUGUACACUAUAAAUAUAUGUGCGUAGUUUAUAGGCACUUCUACAAACAUAGCUUGUCUGUUUGUUUGUAAUGUUGCUGCUCUAGUGGUAGUGCCAGAAUGGAAGCUUUAUUGAUAUUUUCUGUAAUACUGAUCUUUCAAAGCAGAAAAUUUUUAUGCUUUUCAAGAAUUAUCCUGCAUGCCAAUUAACUCACUUUUUGAGAUGAAUCAUUAGGUAUCUAAGUGUCUCAUAGUGAGCAGCAGGGAGUAACAUCAACACUUCAUGUAUUGCUUCUAGUCGUUCAUCAGGAUUGGAGAUUUCUGUAAAACACCAAACAGUUUAAUGUUAAUCGAGCCUUUCAUUUGUAAACAGCGAUAAUUCAGGAAGCUAAGUUGUCAUUAUGGAGUCCUUCACAAGCCACUGAUUGUGCUUGCAGGGAUAAAUACCAAACUCAUAAACAGGGAGCACAGAAGCAACUUCUCAAAAGAAUGGUGAUUUUACAAAGAAAUCAGCAACAAAAACCACCCCAUAGUCAUAAAAUCACAGAAUCAUAGAAUGGCCUGGGUUGAAAAGGAUCCCAAAGAUCAUCUAGUUUCAACCCCCCUGCUGUGUGCAUUGUCGCCAACCACCAGACCAGGGUGCCCAGAGCCACAUCCAUCCUGGCCUUGAAUGCCUCCAGGGAUGGGGCAUCCACAACUUCCUUGGGCAACCUGUUCCAGUCUGACACCACCCUCUCUAUAGUCUGUAGCUCUAGCUACAGUAGUCGGUACAGUACCUGAGCUUCAUUAAAUUCUUCAUAAUACACUGUGUGAAACUGACUCUUUAAUUCUCGCAUAAGAUUACUUCAAUUAGCCAUCCAAAACAGAUGGGAGUGUGGAUAUGUGCUUCAGAGACUGUUCUUGAUUAUACUGGACUGUGCUGAAGUUUAGGUAGAGACUGAAGUGACAUGGAAUUACACAAACAAGGUGAGACUGCUGAACGUAUUUAAAUACAUUGGAAUAAGUGACGUGAGAACAUCAGUGCUCGCUUAAGACUGGCAGUCUCUCUAAAAAUCUGAUUGGUUUUUACAUGUAUUUUAGCUGAAAAAUAUGAAGUGAGUCAGAUUUGUAUCUGUUGCAUGACUUUUCAUAGGAAUGGUAUCAGGAACAUGAAAUUUUAGAAGAUUAAGAAACUUUAUGCCCUGCUUUUAAAAGAUUACUGUAUUUCACUAUAGGAACUGCUUCCUCUGAGCAUGAUAUUUAUAAGAUGAGUUAUAAAAUAAUUUUAAAUAUAAAAUAAUUAUAAAAUAAUUUCUCUGCCUCGGGAGGAAGAGAAGAGCGCAAAAGCUGCCCGUGGCUGCAAGGGCAGUGCAAGGUUGGGUGACCAGAAGGUGAGCCCAGCAUGGUGACACAGACCUCUUGCUUGUCGAUAUACUGCCGUUUCAAAAUCACUAAGGAUCCUUUUAAAAGAAGAAAGUGUGCUACUUCUUAGGUAUCACAGAUCUCUACAUUCUUUGCUAAGCAGUCAAGUAUUUUUAGACUCUACAUUAAUUUUUAGUUCUUUUUUACCUGCACGAUGUUCCUUCUACAUUAGCAAUUGGGCAAAACUUUCGUUUAAGAGAAAUAUAUGGCUGAGAAAUGCCCGUUUCCAAUUUGUUGUCUGUCUUUAUUGUGAACAGUGCUAUGGAUGGGAAACGUAAUUGAAGAACAGUACAAAUUACUAUGCAAUACUUACU
Gallus gallus (chicken) is the source of this 3482-nucleotide long non-coding RNA. RefSeq lists it as uncharacterized. The record is from RefSeq and is a predicted model, not a curated record. The transcript is spliced from 3 exons. NCBI's taxonomy places the organism in Eukaryota, Metazoa, Chordata, Aves, Galliformes, Phasianidae.